Molecule: ribosomal RNA, 424 nt
Filed under: uncultured bacterium
Lineage: Bacteria
Description: bacterial SSU rRNA
Rfam family: Bacterial small subunit ribosomal RNA
Source: RNAcentral
UGGGGAAUAUUGCACAAUGGGCGGAAGCCUGAUGCAGCAACGCCGCGUGCGGGAUGACGGCCUUCGGGUUGUAAACCGCUUUCGCCUGUGACGAAGCGUGAGUGACGGUAAUGGGUAAAGAAGCACCGGCUAACUACGUGCCAGCAGCCGCGGUGAUACGUAGGGUGCGAGCGUUGUCCGGAUUUACUGGUGUAAAGGGAGCGUAGACGGAAGAGCAAGUCUGAUGUGAAAGGCUGGGGCUUAACCCCAGGACUGCAUUGGAAACUGUUGUUCUAGAGUGCCGGAGAGGUAAGCGGAAUUCCUAGUGUAGCGGUGAAAUGCGUAGAUAUUAGGAGGAACACCAGUGGCGAAGGCGGCUUACUGGACGGUAACUGACGUUGAGGCUCGAAAGCGUGGGGAGCAAACAGGAUUAGAUACCCUGGUA